This 293-nucleotide long non-coding RNA is filed under the name Populus trichocarpa (black cottonwood). RNAcentral's name for it is "long non-coding RNA (PTRI_LNC002828)". The record is from RNAcentral. Lineage: Eukaryota; Viridiplantae; Streptophyta; Magnoliopsida; Malpighiales; Salicaceae.
AUAUAUAUAUUGCCUUCUUCUUCCUCAUGUAUAAUUAAUAUUUCUUAUAAGAAUCACUAAUUUGGUCAUACAGAUGAGACAAUACAACCGAUUUGAUCACCCUGUAGGACGUGGGGGAGCCGUUUCGUUUGAAUGAAGGCUUUUGAUUUCUCUUUUGAAAAUUUGAAAGGGGUGGCGUGGUGGUGGAGUCAGUCCCCCCCCAUAAGAGAAGGCAAACGAAGAGAGGACUGGUCUUGACGAGACAAUAAUAUUCCCCCAGGUCUAAUUAAGUGGGUGAAAAAGGAAAGGGCGUC